AAUGCUGUGAUGAGAUGAACACCUUUGGUGUUUUGGGCAGUGGGAAAAAGUUGGAUUUUUAAUCCUUCUCCGUGAGCCCUCUAAUUAACGACUUCUCCUUCCACUGAGCAUU
This is a small nucleolar RNA of Ipomoea nil (Japanese morning glory), 112 nucleotides long. It matches the Rfam family "Small nucleolar RNA Z152/R70/R12/". From Rfam's summary of the family: Z152 is a member of the C/D class of snoRNA which contain the C (UGAUGA) and D (CUGA) box motifs. Most of the members of the box C/D family function in directing site-specific 2'-O-methylation of substrate RNAs. The record is from Rfam. Lineage: Eukaryota; Viridiplantae; Streptophyta; Magnoliopsida; Solanales; Convolvulaceae.